RNAcentral lists this unclassified non-coding RNA (281 nucleotides) under Hevea brasiliensis (rubber tree). Lineage: Eukaryota; Viridiplantae; Streptophyta; Magnoliopsida; Malpighiales; Euphorbiaceae. The record is from RNAcentral.
UGAAAAUGAAAAGGCCAAGUCAUCAGUGCUCUCUGCUUCUAUGGAAGUUGCCGAGCUUAAAAAGUUGUUUGAAAAAGAAACUAUUUCAAGGAAAGCUGCAGAAGAGGAAAUUGACAAUAUUAAAAAUCAACUAGCACAAUGGAAAAGGUCAGAGGCUGCUGGAAAUUCUGAGAUUUUAAAGCUGCGGAAAGCUGCAGAAGAGGAAAUUGACAAUAUUAAAAAUCAACUAGCACAAUGGAAAAGGUCAGAGGCUGCUGGAAAUUCUGAGAUUUUAAAGCUGC